Molecule: ribosomal RNA, 468 nt
Filed under: uncultured bacterium
Lineage: Bacteria
Description: partial 16S ribosomal RNA
Rfam family: Bacterial small subunit ribosomal RNA
Source: RNAcentral
GACGAACGCUGGCGGCGUGCUUAACACAUGCAAGUCGAACGGAAAGGCCCUGCUUGUGUGGGGUGCUCGAGUGGCGAACGGGUGAGUAACACGUGUGUAACCUGCCCUUGACUUUGGGAUAACUUAAGGAAACUGGGGCUAAUACCGGAUAGGAUCUCCUGUUGCAUGGAGGGGGUGGGAAAGUUUCGGCGUUUGGGGAUGGACUGGCGGCUUAUCAGCUUGUUGGUCGGCGAGUGGCUUACCAAGGCUUUGACGGGUAGGCGGCAUGAGAGGGUGAACGGCCACCUUGGGCCUAAGAUACGGACCAGACUCCUAUGGGAGGCAGCAGUGGCGAAUCUUGCACAAUGAGAGGAAGCCUGAUGAAGCAACGCUGCGUGCGGGAUGACGGCCUUCUGGUUAAAAACCGCUUUCGCCUGUGACGCAGCGGGAGUGACGGUAAUGGAUAAAGAAGCACCGGCUAACUACGUG